CAAUAGCGUAUAUUAAAGUUGUUGCAGUUAAAAAGCUCGUAGUUGGAUUUGUUGCGUACGGUGUGUUCCGGGCACUUGUUGUCUGAGUAACCUGCUGUUGCCAUCCUUGGGUGGAACCUGUGUGGCAUUAGGUUGUCGUGCAGGGGAUGCCCAUCAUUUACUGUGAAAAAAUUAGAGUGUUCAAAGCAGGCUUAUGCCGUUGAAUAUAUUAGCAUGGAAUAAUGAGAUAGGACUUUUUUGCUAUUUUGUUGGUUUGCGCAAAGAGGUAAUGAUUAAUAGGGACAGUUGGGGGUAUUCGUAUUCCAUUGUCAGAGGUGAAAUUCUUGGAUUUUUGGAAGACGAACUACUGCGAAAGCAUUUACCAAGGAUGUUUUCAUUAA
RNAcentral lists this ribosomal RNA (380 nucleotides) under uncultured eukaryote. RNAcentral's name for it is "partial 18S ribosomal RNA". It matches the Rfam family "Eukaryotic small subunit ribosomal RNA", at positions 592 to 976 of the family's 1831-position model. The record is from RNAcentral.